This 1260-nucleotide ribosomal RNA is filed under the name Bacillus sp. (in: firmicutes). RNAcentral describes it as "bacterial SSU rRNA". It matches the Rfam family "Bacterial small subunit ribosomal RNA", at positions 50 to 1305 of the family's 1533-position model. The record is from RNAcentral. Lineage: Bacteria; Bacillati; Bacillota; Bacilli; Caryophanales; Bacillaceae.
UGGACAGGCCGCGCUCACACAUUUUUAUCACGGGGCCCCCCCGUUGUUUGCGGACGGCCUGAGUAACACGUGGGCAACCUGCCUGUAAGACUGGGAUAACACCGGGAAACCGGUGCUAAUACCGGAUAAUCCUUUUCCUCUCAUGAGGAAAAGCUGAAAGUCGGUUUCGGCUGACACUUACAGAUGGGCCCGCGGCGCAUUAGCUAGUUGGUGAGGUAACGGCUCACCAAGGCGACGAUGCGUAGCCGACCUGAGAGGGUGAUCGGCCACACUGGGACUGAGACACGGCCCAGACUCCUACGGGAGGCAGCAGUAGGGAAUCUUCCACAAUGGACGAAAGUCUGAUGGAGCAACGCCGCGUGAGCGAUGAAGGCCUUCGGGUCGUAAAGCUCUGUUGUUAGGGAAGAACAAGUACCGGAGUAACUGCCGGUACCUUGACGGUACCUAACCAGAAAGCCACGGCUAACUACGUGCCAGCAGCCGCGGUAAUACGUAGGUGGCAAGCGUUGUCCGGAAUUAUUGGGCGUAAAGCGCGCGCAGGCGGUCCUUUAAGUCUGAUGUGAAAGCCCACGGCUCAACCGUGGAGGGUCAUUGGAAACUGGGGGACUUGAGUGCAGAAGAGGAAAGCGGAAUUCCACGUGUAGCGGUGAAAUGCGUAGAGAUGUGGAGGAACACCAGUGGCGAAGGCGGCUUUCUGGUCUGUAACUGACGCUGAGGCGCGAAAGCGUGGGGAGCAAACAGGAUUAGAUACCCUGGUAGUCCACGCCGUAAACGAUGAGUGCUAAGUGUUAGAGGGUUUCCGCCCUUUAGUGCUGCAGCUAACGCAUUAAGCACUCCGCCUGGGGAGUACGGCCGCAAGGCUGAAACUCAAAGGAAUUGACGGGGGCCCGCACAAGGCGGUGGAGCAUGUGGGUUUAAUUCGAAGCAACGCGAAGAACCUUACCAGGUCUUGACAUCCUCUGACCACUCCUAGAGAUAGAAUUUCCCCUUCGGGGGACGAAUGACAGGUGGUGCAUGGUUGUCGUCAGCUCGUGUCGUGAGAUGUUGGGUUAAGUCCCGCCAACGAGCGCAACCCUUGAAUCUUAGUUGCCAGUAUCAGUGGCACUCUUAAGGGUGACUGGCCCGGCUGGACAAACCCGGAGGAAGGGUGGGAUGACAGUACAAAUCAUCCUAUGCCCCUAUGAACUUGGCUAACCCACGUGCUCAAUGGAUGGGUCAAGGCAGCAAGGCGCUGAGAGCCAUACCACAAUCCUCGUGGGC